Micropterus salmoides (largemouth bass) is the source of this 1310-nucleotide long non-coding RNA. RefSeq lists it as uncharacterized. The transcript has 3 exons. Lineage: Eukaryota; Metazoa; Chordata; Actinopteri; Centrarchiformes; Centrarchidae. The record is from RefSeq and is a predicted model, not a curated record.
GCUGCUGUGUGGUUUUCUGGAGAGUCCACACUGCAGACUGGAGACUCUGAGAUUGAGGGGCUGCAGGUUGUCAGAGAUCAGCUGUGCUUCUCUGGCCUCAGCUCUGAAGUCCAACCCCUCCCAUCUGAGAGAACUGGUGCUAAAUAACAACAACCUGAGGGAUUCAAACGUGAAGCUGCUGUCUGAUCUUGUGGAGAGUCCACACUGCAGCCUGGAGACUCUGAGAUGGAAGUGAUCUCUGUCGGAGUGUGAGGGGUCAGAAAGGUGGAGGUGUUGAGAGAGGAUCAGCUGUGUCCUGAUGAUCCAGAGAGGUUGAAGCAGCAGCAUCAGCUUGUGUGUGGAGAGGCUCUGACUGGGCCAUGUUACUGGGAGGUAGAGUGGAGAGGAGAGCUUCAUCCAGCAGUGACUGACAGAGGAAUCCCAACAGUGCUGCAGUCUGAACUGCUCUGAGAUCAGCUCCACUGUCAGACGCAAAGUCAAGUCCACCAUCAUCCCUGUGUGUUCCUCUGAAUGUGACAGAGGAUCAUCAGUGGAUCUGGACUGCUCUGCUGCUGCUCUGUCCUUCUACACAGUCUCUGCAGACACACUGAGACUCCUCCACUCCUUCUGCUGCACACUCAGACACCUCCUCCAUCUGGACCUGGACUUUGUUUAGUUCAGAUGUUGUGGAGAGGUGGAGAACUACAGUUAAUCUUUACAUUAUAUUCCUGAUUCAUUUUUGAAGUUCAUGUGAAUAAGCAGUUCGCUCUCUGAAGCUUCUUACCACCAACACCAGACUUUUCUCUCAGUUUAACAGAUAAUAGUUUGUAACACAGAAACAAGAAGAUAAAACCUGUGGAAAGUUUGAAUUUAACGGAAGCUUCACUGAGGUAAACUGAGACACCAUCCUGAACACCUGAACAUUUUAAUAAAUUGUUUAUUUUAGUUUUUCUUUUGACAUGAAAGUAACACACAUAAACAUACUAACUCUAAACCUUAGUGUCAUUAUUAGGGAUUAAGAUUAUGGAAAUGACUGUGUUUUCUCAUAUCGUGACAGUUUAUAUUAUUGUAGAAUAAACAUUUAUGCUGAUAUUCAAAUCAAGUUCAGAGAGCGGAUAGACUCCAUCAGACCUGCUGUUACAUCCUGUUUUAUUUUGUGUUUCCCUUUGAUCAUCUGAUUGGCUGGCCCUUGUGCUGACUUGUGGGCUGUGUCUAUAUUGGUAGUCGAGUGUUCAACUCUCUCUCUGCUGCAUCCAGUUUUUUGUGGUGUUUGGUAUCGUUUUUUAUUCAUUUAUUCGUAUUCAAAUAAACUUGCAUGCAGUAAGCUCUUC